RNAcentral lists this ribosomal RNA (371 nucleotides) under uncultured bacterium. RNAcentral describes it as "bacterial SSU rRNA". It matches the Rfam family "Bacterial small subunit ribosomal RNA", at positions 525 to 896 of the family's 1533-position model. The record is from RNAcentral.
ACGUAGGGUGCAGGCGUUAAUCGGAAUUACUGGGCGUAAAGCGUGCGCAGGCGGCUCCUUAAGUCAGAUGUGAAAUCCCCGGGCUUAACCUGGGAACUGCGUUUGAAACUGGGGGGCUUGAGUGUGGAAGAGGGGGGUGGAAUUCCAGGUGUAGCAGUGAAAUGCGUAGAGAUCUGGAGGAACACCGAUGGCGAAGGCAGCCCCCUGGGCUAACACUGACGCUCAUGCACGAAAGCGUGGGGAGCAAACAGGAUUAGAUACCCUGGUAGUCCACGCCCUAAACGAUGUCAACUAGUUGUCGGGGAAGCAAUUCCUUGGUAACGAAGCUAACGCGUGAAGUUGACCGCCUGGGGAGUACGGCCGCAAGGUUA